This 464-nucleotide ribosomal RNA is filed under the name uncultured Melioribacteraceae bacterium. Its description in RNAcentral is "bacterial SSU rRNA". It matches the Rfam family "Bacterial small subunit ribosomal RNA", at positions 335 to 796 of the family's 1533-position model. The record is from RNAcentral. Lineage: Bacteria; Pseudomonadati; Ignavibacteriota; Ignavibacteria; Ignavibacteriales; Melioribacteraceae.
GCACCUACGGGGGGCUGCAGUGAGGAAUAUUGGGCAAUGGACGAAAGUCUGACCCAGCAACGCCGCGUGGAGGAUGAAUGCCGUAAGGUUGUAAACUCCUUUUGAAGGGGACGAAAAAUUCCGAUAGCAUCGGAACUUGACUGUACCCUUAGAAGAAGCCCCGGCUAACUACGUGCCAGCAGCCGCGGUAAUACGUAGGGGGCAAGCGUUGUCCGGAUUUACUGGGUGUAAAGGGCGCGUAGGCGGAUCUGUUAGUCAAGGGUGAAAUCCGACAGCUUAACUGUAGAACUGCCUUUGAUACUGCAAAUCUUGAGUUCGGAAGAGAGUAGCGGAAUUCCAGGUGUAGUGGUGAAAUACGUAGAUAUCUGGAAGAACACCAGUGGCGAAGGCGGCUACUUGGUCCGUAACUGACGCUGAGGCGCGAAAGCGUGGGGAGCAAACAGGAUUAGAUACCCCUGUAGUCC